This 270-nucleotide long non-coding RNA is filed under the name Rattus norvegicus (Norway rat). Its description in RNAcentral is "long non-coding RNA NONRATT015714". The record is from RNAcentral. Lineage: Eukaryota; Metazoa; Chordata; Mammalia; Rodentia; Muridae.
GGUUUUGACAUAAUAUGACCAACUUUAGCAGCUCCAGCCCUGCUUCCCACAGCUCCACAUCUUCCCUGGUCCCACUGCUCUCCUUUUCUGUGUUAUUAAAGAGAGAAGCAGUCCUGUCUGGGGCAGGCAGAGAAGAAGCUGAACAGCUUGUUGUGCUGUAUGCAGGUUUCGGACCACCUGAAUUUCCCAGGCAGAACAAAGGCGGCAGAGAAGGAGGGCACUACUGAACGCAAACAAAAGAUGUAGUCUUAAUAAAGAUUUUACAAAUGC